ACUCAAAGGAAUUGACGGGGGUCCGCACAAGCGGUGGAACAUGUGGUUUAAUUCGACACUACGCGAGGAACCUUACCUAGGCUUGACAUGUUUAUGACAACCGUAGAAACACGGCUUUCCAGGGGUAACCCUGGACAUAUUCACAGGUGCUGCAUGGCUGUCGUCAGCUCGUGUCGUGAGAUGUUGGGUUAAGUCCUAUAACGAGCGCAACCCCUGCUGUCAGUUGCUAUCCAGUGAUGGAGCACUCUGAUGGGACUGCCUGGGAAACCAGGAGGAAGGUGGGGAUGAUGUCAAGUCCGCAUGGUCCUUAUGCCUAGGGCCACACACGUGUUACAAUGGCGAAUACAAAGGGCUGCAAAACCGUAAGGUGAAGCUAAUCCCAUAAAGUUCGUCUAAGUUCGGAUUGAGGUCUGCAACUCGACCUCAUGAAGUUGAAAUCGCUAGUAAUCGCAUAUCAGAACGAUGCGGUGAAUACGUUCUCGGACCUUGUACACACCGCCCGU
This 503-nucleotide ribosomal RNA is filed under the name uncultured bacterium. Its description in RNAcentral is "bacterial SSU rRNA". It matches the Rfam family "Bacterial small subunit ribosomal RNA", at positions 899 to 1397 of the family's 1533-position model. The record is from RNAcentral.